Molecule: long non-coding RNA, 397 nt
Filed under: Equus caballus (horse)
Lineage: Eukaryota; Metazoa; Chordata; Mammalia; Perissodactyla; Equidae
Description: lncRNA (ENSECAG00000051721.1)
Source: RNAcentral
GGAGAAUGACCACCAGCUAUUUACCUUGUCUUUUGCUACUCCACCAAUGCUUCUUGGACUCCAUUCAGAUUCAGUGACCUGUCCUCUGAACAAACUGACAAGAAAGGUGAAGAGUUGAGACCUAAUGGAUCUUUUGCACUGUCUGGACUCAAGUUCCUUAGAAUCUCAAGGCUCGAUAUUAGUAAAAAGAGGAAGCAGAGGAUGCUGGAGCCAACUCCUUUGGAAGUACAGCAGGAAGACUGGCCCUGAGCUAACAUCUAUACCCAUGCUCCUCUAUUUUAUAUGUGGGACGCUUACCAUAGCACGGCUUGAUAAGCGGUACAUAGGUCAGCAUCCAGAUCCGGAUCGGCAAACCCCAGAUCACUGAAGCCAAGCACAUGAACUUAACCACCAUGCC